RNAcentral lists this ribosomal RNA (484 nucleotides) under uncultured bacterium. Its description in RNAcentral is "partial 16S ribosomal RNA". It matches the Rfam family "Bacterial small subunit ribosomal RNA", at positions 30 to 507 of the family's 1533-position model. The record is from RNAcentral.
AUUGAACGCUGGCGGCAGGCCUAACACAUGCAAGUCGAGCGGAUGAAGGGAGCUUGCUCCUGGAUUCAGCGGCGGACGGGUGAGUAAUGCCUAGGAAUCUGCCUGGUAGUGGGGGAUAACGUCCGGAAACGGGCGCUAAUACCGCAUACGUCCUGAGGGAGAAAGUGGGGGAUCUUCGGACCUCACGCUAUCAGAUGAGCCUAGGUCGUAUUAGCUAGUUGGUGGGGUAAAGGCCUCCCAAGGCGACGAUCCGUAACUGGUAUGAGAGGAUGAUCAGUCACACUGGAACUGAGACACGGUCCAGACUCCUACGGGAGGCAGCAGUGGGGAAUAUUGGACAAUGGGCGAAAGCCUGAUCCAGCCAUGCCGCGUGUGUGAAGAAGGUCUUCGGAUUGUAAAGCACUUUAAGUUGGGAGGAAGGGCAGUAAGUUAAUACCUUGCUGUUUUGACGUUACCAACAGAAUAAGCACCGGCUAACUUCGUG